UACAGAGGUGGCAAGCGUUGUUCGGAAUUACUGGGCGUAAAGGGCGCGUAGGCGGCCGCCUAAGUCAGACGUGAAAUCCCCAAGCUUAACUUGGGAACUGCGUCUGAUACUGGGUGGCUUGAGUUCGGGAGAGGAAUGUGGAAUUCCAGGUGUAGCGGUGAAAUGCGUAGAUAUUGGGAGGAACACCAGUGGCGAAGGCGGCUCACUGGACCGGAACUGACGCUGAGGCGCGAAAGCGUGGGGAGCAAACAGG
RNAcentral lists this ribosomal RNA (253 nucleotides) under uncultured bacterium. Its description in RNAcentral is "partial 16S ribosomal RNA". It matches the Rfam family "Bacterial small subunit ribosomal RNA", at positions 524 to 776 of the family's 1533-position model. The record is from RNAcentral.